Molecule: transfer RNA, 75 nt
Filed under: Aliidongia dinghuensis
Lineage: Bacteria; Pseudomonadati; Pseudomonadota; Alphaproteobacteria; Rhodospirillales; Dongiaceae
Description: tRNA-Val
Rfam family: tRNA
About the family: Transfer RNA (tRNA) molecules are approximately 80 nucleotides in length. Their secondary structure includes four short double-helical elements and three loops (D, anti-codon, and T loops).
Source: RNAcentral
GGGCGGUUAGCUCAGCGGUAGAGCAUCACGUUGACAUCGUGGAGGUCGCUGGUUCGAUCCCAGCACCGCCCACCA